Molecule: ribosomal RNA, 861 nt
Filed under: Halomonas sp. HUC15
Lineage: Bacteria; Pseudomonadati; Pseudomonadota; Gammaproteobacteria; Oceanospirillales; Halomonadaceae
Description: bacterial SSU rRNA
Rfam family: Bacterial small subunit ribosomal RNA
Source: RNAcentral
GCGGCGUGAUAAGCCGGUUGUGAAAGCCCCGGGCUCAACCUGGGAACGGCAUCCGGAACUGUCAGGCUAGAGUGCAGGAGAGGAAGGUAGAAUUCCCGGUGUAGCGGUGAAAUGCGUAGAGAUCGGGAGGAAUACCAGUGGCGAAGGCGGCCUUCUGGACUGACACUGACGCUGAGGUGCGAAAGCGUGGGUAGCAAACAGGAUUAGAUACCCUGGUAGUCCACGCCGUAAACGAUGUCGACUAGCCGUUGGGGUCCUUGAGACCUUUGUGGCGCAGUUAACGCGAUAAGUCGACCGCCUGGGGAGUACGGCCGCAAGGUUAAAACUCAAAUGAAUUGACGGGGGCCCGCACAAGCGGUGGAGCAUGUGGUUUAAUUCGAUGCAACGCGAAGAACCUUACCUACCCUUGACAUCGUGCGAACUUUCCAGAGAUGGAUUGGUGCCUUCGGGAGCGCACAGACAGGUGCUGCAUGGCUGUCGUCAGCUCGUGUUGUGAAAUGUUGGGUUAAGUCCCGUAACGAGCGCAACCCUUGUCCCUAUUUGCCAGCGAUUCGGUCGGGAACUCUAGGGAGACUGCCGGUGACAAACCGGAGGAAGGUGGGGACGACGUCAAGUCAUCAUGGCCCUUACGGGUAGGGCUACACACGUGCUACAAUGGCCCGGUACAAAGGGUUGCGAAGCCGCGAGGUGGAGCUAAUCCCGGAAAGCCGGGUCUCAGUCCGGAUCGGAGUCUGCAACUCGACUCCGUGAAGUCGGAAUCGCUAGUAAUCGUGAAUCAGAAUGUCACGGUGAAUACGUUCCCGGGCCUUGUACACACCGCCCGUCACACCAUGGGAGUGGACUGCACCAGAAGUGGUUAGC